UGCGGCGGGAGGACGAGACUGGGUCCUUCGUCUGGUGACCCAGGGUGGUCAGCUGCAAUGACCUUGUGUCUGUAGCUGCAGAAGGUCCGCGCUGCGCAGCGGCGGGAAAAAACCUGGGAGCCUUCUCUGCUGCAAGGAUGCGGAACGUUUUUUGGCCAUAAAGCGAAAGAAGAAAUCGGAAGUGACGUCGCGGUCCAAACAAGCCGGAGCCCUGAGGCCCUUGGUCAAUCUGUGGCCGCAGAUGGAAAGGCCCGACUCGCUGUCGGCUGUCGAAGGUAGUCGCGAGGCCCUGCUCUCCCACCCGGUCGGCGCCCGGCCCCUGUCCCCGGAACCCGCCCGCCUCGGAUUUUUUAUUAUCUAAAUCCCAAAAAUACACUGGAUACCUCUUUUACAAAACCAAGAGGAAAUCAUGAAGAAAUGUUUUAAUUAUUGAAACUACACUUGAAGUCAUGGCUACAUCAGCCAAUCUGGAUAUUGGAGCCCAGCUGAUUGUGGAGGAGUGUCCCAGCAGUUACAGUCUAGCUGGCGUGCCAGACAUUAAAGUAGAGCACCAGCUGAGCUCCAAUGCAGAAGAAGGAUCAGCUCAAGGCGUUACCAUGGGAAUGAAAUUCAUAUUGCCUAACCGAUUUGAUAUGAAUGUGUGUUCUCGAUUUGUGAAGUCCUUGAAUGAAGAGGAUAGUAAAAAUAUUCAAGAUCAAGUUAACUCUGACCUGGAGGUGGCAUCUGUCUUAUUUAAAGCUGAAUGCAGCAUCCAUACAUCUGCUUCUCCUGGAAUUCAAGUAAGGCAUGUCUAUACUCCCUCUACAACAAAGCACUUCUCACCCAUAAAGCAGUCAACUACUUUAACUAACAAACACAGAGGGAAUGAGGUCUCUACCACACCUCUGUUAGCAAAUUCUUUAUCUGUUCACCAGUUGGCUGCACAGGGUGAGAUGCUCUACCUGGCUAGUCGUAUUGAACAAGAAAAUGUUAUCAAUCACACAGAUGAAGAAGGAUUUACGCCUCUAAUGUGGGCUGCAGCACAUGGGCAAAUAGCUGUGGUAGAGUUUCUACUUCAGAAAGGUGCUGAUCCCCAGCUUUUAGGAAAAGGUCGAGAAAGUGCACUGUCAUUGGCCUGUAGUAAAGGUUACACAGAUAUUGUCAAAAUGCUGCUUGAUUGUGGAGUUGAUGUAAAUGAAUAUGAUUGGAAUGGAGGGACACCUUUGCUUUAUGCUGUCCAUGGAAAUCAUGUGAGAUGUGUGAAAAUGCUGUUAGAAAAUGGAGCUGACCCAACGAUUGAAACUGACUCUGGAUAUAAUUCUAUGGAUUUAGCUGUAGCUUUGGGCUACAGAAGUGUUUACACUUUCCAUGUUUCAAGGACCCUCUGUGAUCCACAGUCUGGAAGUAGAUGACCCUCCUGUAAUGUCAGAAGGUCAACAGUAGCCUAGCACUAGAGGUCACAGUGCCUACUUUAUUCACCUCACUUCAUCUCAUCUCAUAGGCAUAUUAUCUCACAUCACCACAGAAAGCAGGGUUUCCUUUGGGACGGAGGCAUUGACUGAAGCACAGGCCCUGCAGGACUCAUGCCAGCUCACAGGGUUCAUCCACAAAGCCAGGUGACAGAAGUCUCUUCUUUUUCUGCUGCAGAGGAAAUGCCUUCAGAUCUGAAUCAUAAAAAAGAGCAAUGCUGGCCUCCCACCAGGCAGUCUCUCUGGAUUUUCUGCAUGGCACUCCUUGUGCUUGGAGUCACGGCUGCUGUGAUGGGUCUUGGGAUCACCUUUGGGAUGCCUAUAAAACCUGCAAGUAUGCCUCUCCUCUAGGAGAAAGAUCUAAUGAUUCAUUCAACAAACAGGAGUAUAUUUAUCCCUCAUCUAUUUCCAAAAUGGAUUUGCCACAUCAACAAUGCAAAACAGCUCCACAGCAGUUUGGCUUCUUGUGUGAGGACCUCACUACUUGCUUGCCACCCUCCCUGCUUUGUGAUGGCAAGUUGGACUGCAGUCAUGGUGAAGAUGAAUCUGCUACUUACUGUGGCCAACUGCCCAGCAGUCUCCCACAAAACUUGAUAUUCAAGUGUCCCAACCAGAAGACUUGGACAUAUGUGGACAAGGUGUGUGACACAAGAAAUGACUGUGGCGAUUGUUCAGAUGAAUCAGUUUUACAGUGCCCAGAGUGUUCAGGCUGGCGCUGUGAUACUGUCUCCUUUGCUGACUGUGCCUGCAUUCCCAGAACUCGCUGCAAAAAUGGCAUUCAAGACUGUGCUGAUUGGAGUGAUGAAAACUUAUGUGAAUAGAAGACAUUCCUCAUCAUUGUUUUGGAAAUCUAAGAACUGUCACUAGUUAUCUUAAGACUCCUCUCCAAAAAAACUGACAUAUCUUAUUAGCGAGACAGUGGGCAGGGAGGGGUUGGCUACUAAAUCGUGAACCCAGUAUUAUGUAACGGAGAAAAAAAUGAUUAGCAGAAAUCAAAGCCAAACUUCAGUGACCUUCUAAACAAGCGCAUUUUUAAACUUGCUUCCAAGUUUUAGAAUUUCUGCCCUGUAUAGAGUGGGGAUGACACAUGUGUACUCUGGUUUGAUUACUUCAACAA
RNA transcript from Manis pentadactyla (Chinese pangolin), 2565 nucleotides. It is a transcript of the gene named ankyrin repeat family A member 2, with no coding region annotated. The record is from RefSeq and is a predicted model, not a curated record. Lineage: Eukaryota; Metazoa; Chordata; Mammalia; Pholidota; Manidae. The transcript is spliced from 15 exons.